GGUAGCGUGGCCGAGUGGUCUAAGGCGCUGGUUUAAGGCACCCGUCUCUUCAGGCGUGGGUUCGAAUCCCACCGCUGCCA
This 80-nucleotide transfer RNA is filed under the name Rhipicephalus microplus (southern cattle tick). RNAcentral describes it as "tRNA-Leu". It matches the Rfam family "tRNA". From Rfam's summary of the family: Transfer RNA (tRNA) molecules are approximately 80 nucleotides in length. Their secondary structure includes four short double-helical elements and three loops (D, anti-codon, and T loops). Lineage: Eukaryota; Metazoa; Arthropoda; Arachnida; Ixodida; Ixodidae. The record is from Rfam by way of RNAcentral.